UUGCAAAACGCUCUACUAUCACCCACGCUACAAAAAAAUCCACCCGACACCCGAUCCAGAUCCCCUCCACCCCCGGCCUCCCUUCCACCUCCUCUCUUCUCCCAACCCACUCGCCGUCGGCCCUGCUGAAGAGCAGCGGAGGGGCCAUGGCGACGAACAAGAGACCCGCCGCGUUCGUUGUCCCCGACGUCGUGCUCGCCUACUUGCGCGGCCAGCCCGCUCGCGCGGCCCCUCUCCCCCUUCCGCCUCCCCUAAGCCCGUGCCUCACUCGUCUCUGCUGAUCCGCGCAGGACUCCUUCGCCUACGACGAGAGGGACGUGGUGCUCUACGCGCUCAGCGUGGGGGCCUGCGGCGCGGACGCCGUCGACGAAAAGGAGCUCGACCUCGUGCACCACAGGGAUGGCCAGCGCCACAUCAAGGUCCCCCGCCCCUUCUCUCCCUCUCCCGAUCUGAUCCCCUCUCGUUUCUGCGCCAAUUGGUUGCAGCGACUUGGAUUCCCAAAUCGUAUCAAUUCGGGCCGCUGGAAUUGAUUUUGAACAAGAAUGGCAGCAACCGGAUGCAAUUUUGAGUAGUACAUAUUGAAUAAGCUGACCAACCAGCAACCCCUCACAUGGUCUGUAUUUUCAAGCAAUUUUCUUCUCCAUGUAGGACAUUGACUCUGUCACUCUUUGAAGGAAAAUAUAAAGACUUUGAUGCCCAAAGACUCAAACUAUUUGUGUGACUUUGAUCGAGCAAUAUCCAUUGUUUAUCAUGGGUUCGCUAAUAUGUUGAUGAAUACUAUUUGGCAAAUAGGGUGAGGUUGUUAGUUGCCUGGGUAAAAAUACAUGGAGUAUUCAUACAGUACAUAGUAAUAGCAAGUUACUGAUAAUUUUUGUCUAUCCAUCAGCCUUGGCUCAUGUCUAUGACUAUGCACAUGUAGGUGUAUACAUGUUCUCUUAGUCAACUGUUAAUUCACUGGACCGCUGACAGUUUUUUAUUAGUGUGAAUGUGAUUCCCCUUGUAACUAAGCAAAGUGAUACGCGGAGGAAUUGGCAGCCAAGGUGGCUCCACCUCGACAUCGGACCUCCCACUGGACAGAAUCGGAGUGGGACAAUGUUGGUUCGAUGGUCGAUGGCGCCUGCGUAUAGGAAAGAAGAAGACGACGGAAGCUGCGCAGGAGUUGGUAUGGCUUGGCUAGGACAGCUCAUGGACAGGAACAAUGGGCAAGAAUUGCAUACGAGGCAGAGCGUAAGACGAUUUGUUUUUUGAGGAACUGAGCAGGAGGAACAAGGGAGAGCAGUAACAAUGGGGAGAAGCGCUCCCUGUCCUAAUCCAUCAUGGUUGUGGCCUUGCCUUCUCAAAGGUGUUUCAUUGUGUUCUUGCCGGUUUGAAUUGUUUGUUCCUCAAGUUGAGGAUGCUAUUCCAGUCCAAUGCCACAGCGUAUUUUCUUAUCUCUUUCUUUAUUUGAUGGGUGCUUAUCCAUCUUAAGACUGCAACUGCAAGUUCCAUUAUCGUCUACAUGUCUUUCAGAUUGUUUUUUAUACGGUGGAGAAGCUUUGUGCAGGUGCUCACGACCAAGAUUGCUGCUGUUUGUACUACAUACCGCUUUAUGCAUUGGCUAAAUUUUUAGUUUGGCUUCUCACACAAUGGUUUGCUUACCUAAAUCUUUGUGUAUGUUCGCACUGCGGGGCUGUGAACCUGUGAUGCAUCGGUGGACGAAUCUGGUUUACGAGAAAGAGACAUAUGCGAGCGCUUUGUUUUGUCUUUCAGGGUGCCUCCUACAAAUACAAAUACAUGCUCAGGUCGAGUAUAUAUGUUUGUUUCUUUGUCCACCGGUUAGACUAAAACUUAUUUUAGUAGGGUAAUAUAAUAUUUUGUGGUAACUGUCCACGCGUUGAGAAAAAAAUGGAUGGAGUGAGUUGAGGUGCAAUUCCUACAAAGUAAAUAAUAGAAAUUCUAAUAAAGCAUUGGUUCAACUAAAACAUUCACAAUUCCUUUUGGGAUUCUUCAGAUCCAAAUCCUAGCCAGUCCAUUUGGUUAACACAAAUGGAUUACUGAAAUGAAUAUGCAAAAAAAAUCAGAGAUGAUCACCUUGGGAUUGACAAUGCAUUGUCAUCAAAUAGACACUGCGGCCACCAUCGUAGAGGGCGGAAAGGAGGAUAAGCGACACGAAUGGGAUGCCAUGUUUAAAUAGAGAACAUGGAAUUGCGUGGGGAGAGGGUUAUCCUUUAGCCAUUAAGCCAUGCUUAUUAGGCUUGGGGUAUGUAGUUUUUCUCCCGUUGCAGCACACGAACCUUUUUCUAGUAUAACUUUAACAGCUACAAUCUUGAGAUUUUUUUUCUUUCUUUUUUGGCCCAUGCUUUCCACUCAUUUUCUGCACAACAAAGAUAGAGGCUACACACCUCCACAUGAUUUAUCUCUCUCAAAAAAUAACCUCCACAUGAUUGGCACUCCAAACUCCAAAGGAUUUCCAGCCACAACUCCCGUGUGGUCAGAAAUACAAGUCAUGUCAAGUGGAGCACUAGGUACACACUCUGCUGUGUAAACACACACACACACACACAAAGAUACUUCAAUCCACUCCUUUAUUCUUGCUAGGAGUCUCGCUGCUCUGCCUCACGCGGUCACCGGAGUCUGGUCGACGGCAAGACUCUGGGUUGAUCGACGCUGACUAGCGCGGCUCGGUGGGCGUUGUGCUCUUCAACCCAGUGAAGCCCGGCAGCCACGUCGCAAGAUGAUCGUCCAGGUGAUCGUGACGGCGAAGGUCACCGAGGUGGAGGACCUCGACGCCACCGUCCGAGGGUAGGGAGGAUUUGGGUCCACCGGCGUCUGAACUACGAGCCUUGGUAGAUACAUCUAGAGAAGUGCUUUGUUUAGGUUGGUGGUGAACACUAGGGAAGGUACCCACGUUUCGAUGAUGGUUGUGUGUGUCUGAUGUUAAAUGGAUUCUUGUGAUCUCUUCCAGUUGAGAUGGUUCUGUGACCUUAGUUUAUCUUGCA
Non-coding RNA from Aegilops tauschii subsp. strangulata, 2978 nucleotides. Lineage: Eukaryota; Viridiplantae; Streptophyta; Magnoliopsida; Poales; Poaceae. The record is from RefSeq and is a predicted model, not a curated record.